CCUACGGGCGGCUGCAGUGGGGAAUAUUGGACAAUGGGGGAAACCCUGAUCCAGCAAUGCCGCGUGAGUGAUGAAGGCCUUAGGGUUGUAAAGCUCUUUUACCCGAGAUGAUAAUGACAGUAUCGGGAGAAUAAGCUCCGGCUAACUCCGUGCCAGCAGCCGCGGUAAUACGGAGGGAGCUAGCGUUGUUCGGAAUUACUGGGCGUAAAGCGCACGUAGGCGGCGAUCUAAGUCAGAGGUGAAAGCCCGGGGCUCAACCCCGGAAUUGCCUUUGAGACUGGAUUGCUAGAAUCCGGGAGAGGUGAGUGGAAUUCCGAGUGUAGAGGUGAAAUUCGUAGAUAUUCGGAAGAACACCAGUGGCGAAGGCGGCUCACUGGACCGGCAUUGACGCUGAGGUGCGAAAGCGUGGGGAGCAAACAGGAUUAGAUACCCCGGUAGUC
This 440-nucleotide ribosomal RNA is filed under the name uncultured Sphingobium sp. RNAcentral's name for it is "bacterial SSU rRNA". It matches the Rfam family "Bacterial small subunit ribosomal RNA", at positions 338 to 795 of the family's 1533-position model. The record is from RNAcentral. Lineage: Bacteria; Pseudomonadati; Pseudomonadota; Alphaproteobacteria; Sphingomonadales; Sphingobiaceae.